AAUGAACGCUGGCGGCGUGCUUAACACAUGCAAGUCGUACGAGAACGCUUCAGCUUGCUGAAGCUAGUAAAGUGGCGUACGGGUGAGUAACGCGUGGGUAAUCUACCUUCGAAUUGGGGAUAACGUUGCGAAAGCGACGCUAAUACCGCAUGACAUCCUGCCUUUGAACAGGCGGAGAUCAAAGCCGGGGAUCGCAAGACCUGGCGCUUGAAGAGGGGCCCGCGCUCGAUUAGCUAGUUGGUGGGGUAACGGCUCACCAAGGCGACGAUCGAUAGCCGGCCUGAGAGGGCGGACGGCCACACUGGGACUGAGACACGGCCCAGACUCCUACGGGAGGCAGCAGUGGGGAAUUGUUCGCAAUGGGCGCAAGCCUGACGACGCAACGCCGCGUGGAGGAUGAAGAUCUUCGGGUCGUAAACUCCUGUCGACCGGGACGAAACGUUCGGGGGUGAAUAAUCCCUGGACUUGACGGUACCGGUGGAGGAAGCCCCGGCUAACUCCGUG
RNAcentral lists this ribosomal RNA (504 nucleotides) under uncultured Acidobacteriota bacterium. RNAcentral's name for it is "bacterial SSU rRNA". It matches the Rfam family "Bacterial small subunit ribosomal RNA", at positions 29 to 507 of the family's 1533-position model. Lineage: Bacteria; Pseudomonadati; Acidobacteriota. The record is from RNAcentral.